This is a long non-coding RNA of Apodemus sylvaticus (European woodmouse), 362 nucleotides long. RefSeq lists it as uncharacterized. NCBI's taxonomy places the organism in Eukaryota, Metazoa, Chordata, Mammalia, Rodentia, Muridae. The transcript is spliced from 3 exons. The record is from RefSeq and is a predicted model, not a curated record.
CUCAGCCAUUAUCAGAGACACUUCUUGCAGUUAAUGUGAAGUAAUACAGAGACCCACGGCUUAACAAGGUACAGAGAACGAAAGGCCUUAGAACACUCAGUCCUAAAUGCCUAUAGGUGCUGGUUGCAGCGCAGAGCUCAGAGAGGAACAGUCUUCAUUCGACUAUUGGAAAAACAGCGGCUCCCAGGCUCCAUCUUCUUCCUGUCUGCUCAAAACUCUCCAAAUAUGGGAGGUUGAGAGUAUCUGUCUCCUUAUCUGAGGUCCACAUGAGUGACAGGAAGGGGAAAGGCACAACUGGGCCAGGCUUCAAUGGCCGAGGAAGGAACCAGCACACGUCUGAGGACAGGAGGGAAGAGCCGAGG